RNAcentral lists this ribosomal RNA (451 nucleotides) under uncultured bacterium. RNAcentral describes it as "partial 16S ribosomal RNA". It matches the Rfam family "Bacterial small subunit ribosomal RNA", at positions 354 to 796 of the family's 1533-position model. The record is from RNAcentral.
GUGGGGAAUAUUGGACAAUGGGGGGAACCCUGAUCCAGCCAUGCCGAGUGUGUGAAGAAGGCCUUUUGGUUGUAAAGCACUUUAAGCGAGGAGGAGGCUACCGAGAUUAAUACUCUUGGAUAGUGGACGUUACUCGCAGAAUAAGCACCGGCUAACUCUGUGCCAGCAGCCGCGGUAAUACAGAGGGUGCAAGCGUUAAUCGGAUUUACUGGGCGUAAAGCGCGCGUAGGUGGCCAAUUAAGUCAAAUGUGAAAUCCCCGAGCUUAACUUGGGAAUUGCAUUCGAUACUGGUUGGCUAGAGUAUGGGAGAGGAUGGUAGAAUUCCAGGUGUAGCGGUGAAAUGCGUAGAGAUCUGGAGGAAUACCGAUGGCGAAGGCAGCCAUCUGGCCUAAUACUGACACUGAGGUGCGAAAGCAUGGGGAGCAAACAGGAUUAGAAACCCGGGUAGUCC